Molecule: long non-coding RNA, 2184 nt
Filed under: Sinocyclocheilus anshuiensis
Lineage: Eukaryota; Metazoa; Chordata; Actinopteri; Cypriniformes; Cyprinidae
Description: lncRNA (ENSSANG00000001600.1)
Source: RNAcentral
UAAGGAUGAAACUGAAACGCAAGUUAACCUACAAAGGGCAUUAUGAGUACAAGUAUGUACACACUGAUCGUGUUAGAAAUGCUCUGAAAUAUUUGAUCAGGUUCAAUAAGUGGUUUGAUGAUGUGGAGAUUAAUGAGCAGUGGAUCAACUCUUUGAAUGAACCUGAAGAAAAUGUUGUAGAUGAAAUGGAGCAACAAGAUGUACUUGAAAAGAUAGACGAUGAAAUUUACUCUGACGAACAGCCAGAGGAAGACCUAACCUACAUCAAAGAGCAAAGUGGUCUUUUGUCAGAUACGUCAUUGCAACCAGUGGACAUUGGUUCUGAAGUAAUUGAUCAGCAUUUUCAGGAUGUAUUAAAUCUGGCACCAGCUGAAGGAAACGGUCCUGUUAGUUUGUUAUCUGAUAGGUCCAACGAAGCAAAAUGUUUCCCUGUUCUCUAUCCAAGUGGUGGUCCAACAUUUCAUGAUAAGAGGGAGGUAAAAAUUACAUUGUCAAGAUACUUAAAUGCAAGAAUCCUCAAUGCAGAUGGACGUUUUGCGCGGAGCACAGACUUAAUUUUCUAUGCACAGUAUUUGUCGGAGGUUGAUCAAGUUGUAUCUAAUGUUUAAAUUGCUUUACGCAAAGGAUCUGACAAGAGUUUGUUGACAGAAUUAACAUCAGAUAUGCUAACAAACCCAGACUCGUUGUCUAAAAUAUUGAAUUUCGAUGAAGGAUACAAGUUUUUGAGACCAAUCCGUGGAACGCCACCAUAUUGGCAAUCUACUCAAAACGACCUUUUUGUGCUCAUAAGACAGCUAGGAAUUCCGACUUUCUUUGCAUCCUUUAGUUCUGCGGAUCUUAGAUGGCCUGAAAUUCUUAGCACCAUAAUCAAACAAGAAGGGAAAAAUCUAAAAGCAGAUGAACUUGACUGGUCUGAAAAAUGUGGACUGAUUAGACGAAACCCAGUCACUGCAGCAAGAAUGUUUGAUUAUAGAUGGCAUUGUUUUCUGAGAGAUGUAAUCAUGUCUUCAGCUCAACCGAUCGGGAAGAUAAUAGAUUACUUUUAUCGUGUAGAGUUUCAACAGCAUGGAUCUCCUCAUGUUCAUUGUCUGUUUUGGGUUGAAAAUGCGCCAAAGUUAAAUGAAGACAAUGAAGACAAUGAUGCUUUGGUCACCAGUUUCAUUGAUCAUUACAUCACUUGUGAGACCCCAAGAGAGGAUGAAACCGAACUGUUUGAGACUGUCAACGGUGUUCAGAAGCACAGUGUCAGACAUUCAAAGACAUGUCGUAAGAAAAAGACAGUUUGCAGAUUUAAUUUUCCACGACCCCCAUCUAGCCGUACCUUUAUUACAAGAGGUGGUAGUCGAGGCGAUUUGAAAAGUAGUGAGGGAAAAGAUGCUGCAAGUACAAUUUUAGAAAAAGUCAAAAGAGCAUUAACAGCUUCUGAUAUGAAUUAUGAUUCAAGAGAUGCAUUUUUUGAGUCAACUGGCAUUAACCAGGCUCUCUUCGAAAAAGCAUACAAACAGUGUUCCAAAAAGAAAACUGUUGUCCUAAAAAGAAGUCCAAAAGACGUCUGGGUGAACCAGUAUAAUAAACAUUUACUGCGUGCCUGGCAAGGCAACAUGGAUAUCCAGUAUGUCAAAGAUGCUUACUCUGUAGUGGUUUACAUUAUUAGUUACAUCACAAAAGCAGAACAAGAAAUGGGACUGUUGGUGCAACGUGCACAAAAUGAAGCUAUGAAUGGAAAUCUUGAAGCAAGAUCAUCAUUAAAAAUGCUUGGCAGUGUAUAUCUUCACAACAGAGAAAUUUCUGCUCAAGAGGCUGUGUAUCGAUUGACAGGUAUGCACUUGAAGGAAUGUUCUCGUAAAGUCCAGUUUAUUCCAAUUGGAUUGAAUCCUGUAAAGAUGAGUUUGCCUCUUCGUGUUAUCAAAAACAAAGACGAUCAGUCUGGUGAAGAAACUAGCUUUUGGAUGACCAGUCUGGUUGACCGAUACAAGAAUAGGCCAAAGACGAAGGAGUUUGAGAUUCAAUGUCUUGCAAGUUUUUGCUCUGAAAACAGGAUAGUGUCAAAAUCAGAGGUUUCUUCAAACAAAAAGGCCUCAGAAGACAAGGUGAUUAGGCUUAACAACAACUGCGGUUAUAUGAUGAAGAGAACUCGAACUGAACCUGCUGUUGUCAGAUAUCCGAGAUUUUCUCCAAAAAAAG